AUUUAAAUAGCUUAAUUAGAGCAUAACAUUGAAGAUGUUAGGGUAAUAUUUAUAUUUUUAAGUG
This 64-nucleotide transfer RNA is filed under the name Folsomotoma octooculata. RNAcentral describes it as "tRNA-Phe". The record is from RNAcentral. Lineage: Eukaryota; Metazoa; Arthropoda; Collembola; Entomobryomorpha; Isotomidae.